UACGUAGGGGGCGAGCGUUGUCCGAAGUUACUGGGCGUAAAGCGCGCGUAGGCGGUCUUUUAAGUCUGGGGUGAAAGGUUCAACGCUCAACGUGAACAGUGCCUUGGAUACUGGGAGACUUGAGUUCGGGAGAGGGCAGUGGAAUUCCGGGUGUAGCGGUGAAAUGCGUAGAUAUCCGGAGGAACACCGAUGGCGAAGGCAGCUGCCUGGCCUAGAACUGACGCUGAGGUGCGAAAGCGUGGGGAGCGAACGGG
RNAcentral lists this ribosomal RNA (254 nucleotides) under uncultured bacterium. RNAcentral describes it as "partial 16S ribosomal RNA". It matches the Rfam family "Bacterial small subunit ribosomal RNA", at positions 524 to 776 of the family's 1533-position model. The record is from RNAcentral.